CCUACGGGAGGCAGCAGUGGGGGUUAUUGCACAAUGGGGGGAACCCUGAUGCAGCGACGCCGCGUGGGUGAAGAAGCGCCUCGGCGCGUAAAGCCCUGUCAGCAGGGAAGAAAAUGACGGUACCUGAAGAAGAAGCCCCGGCUAACUACGUGCCAGCAGCCGCGGUAAUACGUAGGGGGCAAGCGUUAUCCGGAUUUACUGGGUGUAAAGGGGGCGCAGACGGCGAUGCAAGCCAGGAGUGAAAGCCCGUGGCCCAACCACGGGACUGCUUUGGAAACUGUGUUGCUGGAGUGCAGGAGGGGUAAGCGGAAUUCCUAGUGUAGCGGUGAAAUGCGUAGAUAUUAGGAGGAACACCGGUGGCGAAGGCGGCUUACUGGACUGUAACUGACGUUGAGGCUCGAAGGCGUGGGGAGCAAACAGGAUUAGAUACCCCAGUAGUC
RNAcentral lists this ribosomal RNA (440 nucleotides) under uncultured bacterium. RNAcentral describes it as "partial 16S ribosomal RNA". It matches the Rfam family "Bacterial small subunit ribosomal RNA", at positions 338 to 795 of the family's 1533-position model. The record is from RNAcentral.